This is a small nuclear RNA of Carlito syrichta (Philippine tarsier), 62 nucleotides long. Its record names the gene U7. It matches the Rfam family "U7 small nuclear RNA". Rfam says of the family: Animal histone pre-mRNAs are spliced by a different mechanism than nuclear pre-mRNAs and self-splicing introns. This processing involves the U7 snRNP, which contains only one RNA species: U7. The record is from Ensembl. NCBI's taxonomy places the organism in Eukaryota, Metazoa, Chordata, Mammalia, Primates, Tarsiidae.
CAAUGUUGCAGCUCUUUUAGAAUUUGUCUAGCAGGCCUUCCGGUUUAUUCCGGAAGGCCCCC